Molecule: non-coding RNA, 25 nt
Filed under: Mus musculus (house mouse)
Lineage: Eukaryota; Metazoa; Chordata; Mammalia; Rodentia; Muridae
Source: RNAcentral
UAAAACUUAAGGGGAUCUGAUGAUA